Molecule: long non-coding RNA, 1909 nt
Organism: Lagenorhynchus albirostris (white-beaked dolphin)
Lineage: Eukaryota; Metazoa; Chordata; Mammalia; Artiodactyla; Delphinidae
Exons: 4
Source: RefSeq, a predicted model, not a curated record
CCCUAAACAUACACGUGUCUGAAAUCCACUGUCCAGGCCAGUACCUCUCGAACUGAAAAAUCAUAGUUACAGACACUACAACGUGCAUUGAAUCAUCUGUGGAUCUUGUUAAUUUGCAGAUUCUGAUUCAACGGGUCUGGGACGGAGCCUGGGAUUCUGCAUUUCUAAGAAGCCCCCAAGUAAUGCUGCUGGCCCACACUUAGUGAAAGUGCAGACCAGUGAGUAGAUCUCAAUCCUGACUGCACAUUAGAAUCACCUGGGGAGCUUUUAAAGCUGCCUUUCUAAGACUAGAGUGGUAUUUAGAAAGCUCUGCAGGUGGUUCUGACGUGCAGCCAGCAUUGGAGACCCACUAGUCUGGAGUAUGCUGCCCCUCAGAGAGGCGAGGUAACCCUUUGCACCUACCUUAUUUUUUGUCCUGGUAGAUCCUGGUGACCCUCCUUUCUCAGAUGAGGACACCGAGACCCAGAGAUUUUUCCUAACUUGCCCAAAGGUGCUGCCCCAGUUUCCUCAUCUGUAUAGUGAGGGCACAAGCAAAAUGAGUCAGAGCACAAGGACCUACUUUCUCCAGCUGCAAAGAUGACCUUAUGCUUCAUCUCUACACUCCCUCAGGAGGAAACUGAGGCCCAGAGCAUUGAGUGAUGUCACCCAGGCAGUAACUGGACAGGCUGAGAUUCAAAGCCGGGGCCAUGACUCUAGGCCUGAGAUGUAGGAGUGCGGCGAGCCACACCCGCCUCUCUCCGUGAGAUCCCGGAGGGGAUGUCUCCAUCGCUGAUGCAUCUCCACAUCAACCCCCUUUGUGGGCAGAUGGGGCGGGGUCUAUGGAGAGAGCCAGUGACUACGGCAGAAGUGACAUUAUAUGAAUUCCAAAGUCCAAUAAAAGAUAAUGAGGCUUCCACCUGGUUCCCUUGGGAUACUCAUUCUUGGAACCCAGCCACCAUGCUACCAGGAAGCCCAGGCCACAUGGAACGGUCACGGGUAGGUGUUCCAACUGAGGUCCCAGCUGACAGCCAGCAUCAAUUUCCAGACAAAUGUGUGUGAAAGCCUUCUAGGUAACUCCAGGCCCUGUCAUGGUCUGCCUGCAACUGUUUGAGAAAUCCUGAACAAGAACUGCCCUAGCUGAGCCCAGAGGCCCCCCAGAGCCAUGAGAGAUGAUAAUGCUUGGGGUGAUUUGAGAUGUAGCAUAGAUAACCGGGACAGCCUCCAUCCUCUCCCAGCUCACAUACACCUGAGUCCAGCCAGGGCCUGCUACGCAGGUGGUGCUAUUUCAAGUCACUAAUUCACAAGCCAUAUGAGCAUGUGUGCACAUACCCGACUAUCAGCCUAUUUAGGGAAAUUGAGGCCUCCCAAUCGUGCACAGAGAAGUCUCUAUCAGGGCAAGGAAAGACUUCAGCAUUUUGUAGUAACAGCCUUGUAUUGUGUGUGGAUUAAAGACAGACUGCAGAAUCAACCCAUGAUGGACACUUGGCCUUAAACAACUGACCUCUGGGCUCUCCCGAGCCCUGACAUUUUUUUAAAAAGCUUCAUUGAGAUAUAAUUCACAUACUACAGCCUUCACCUCUUUAAAGUAUACAAUCAAUGGUUUUAUCUACAGUUGUGUAACUAUCACUAUAAUUUUAAAACAUUUAAAAUCAUUGCUUUCUUUCUCUAUGGCUCUGUCUAGUCUGGACAUGUCAUAUGAAUGGAACCAUGCAAGAUGUGGUCUUUUGUGACUGGCUUCUUUCACUUAACGCAAUGUUCUCCAAGUUCAUCCAUGUUGUAUAUACAUCAUGCCUUUCUGCGGCUGAAUAAUAUUCUGUUGUAUGGAGAGACCACAUUUUGUUUAUCCUUCAUCAGUUGAUGGACCUUUGGGUUGUUUCCACCUUUUGGCUAUUCUGAAUCAUGUUGCAAUGAACAUUCAUGUACAAGUUUU